RNAcentral lists this ribosomal RNA (421 nucleotides) under uncultured bacterium. RNAcentral's name for it is "bacterial SSU rRNA". It matches the Rfam family "Bacterial small subunit ribosomal RNA", at positions 355 to 774 of the family's 1533-position model. The record is from RNAcentral.
UAAGGAAUAUUGGUCAAUGGACGCAAGUCUGAACCAGCCAUGCCGCGUGAAGGAUGAAGGUCCUCUGGAUUGUAAACUUCUUUUAUCUGGGACGAAAACGGGAUUUUUAUCUCAAUUGACGGUACCAGAGGAAUAAGCACCGGCUAACUCCGUGCCAGCAGCCGCGGUAAUACGGAGGGUGCGAGCGUUAUCCGGAUUUACUGGGUUUAAAGGGUGCGUAGGUGGGCUUAUAAGUCAGUGGUGAAAUCUCCGAGCUUAACUUGGAAACUGCCGUUGAUACUAUAGGUCUUGAAUUAUCUGGAGGGUAGCGGAAUAUGUCAUGUAGCGGUGAAAUGCUUAGAUAUGACAUAGAACACCAAUUGCGAAGGCAGCUUACUACAUAUAAAUUGACGCUGAGGCACGAAAGCGUGGGGAUCAAACA